This 482-nucleotide ribosomal RNA is filed under the name uncultured bacterium. Its description in RNAcentral is "partial 16S ribosomal RNA". It matches the Rfam family "Bacterial small subunit ribosomal RNA", at positions 28 to 523 of the family's 1533-position model. The record is from RNAcentral.
GAUGAACGCUGGCGGCGUGCUUAACACAUGCAAGUCGAACGAUGAAGCCCAGCUUGCUGGGUGGAUUAGUGGCGAACGGGUGAGUAACACGUGAGCAACCUGCCCUUGACUCUGGGAUAAGCCCGGGAAACUGGGUCUAAUACCGGAUAGGAACGUCCACCGCAUGGUGGUUGUUGGAAAGAUUUAUCGGUCAUGGAUGGACUCGCGGCCUAUCAGCUUGUUGGUGAGGUAAUGGCUCACCAAGGCGACGACGGGUAGCCGGCCUGAGAGGGUGACCGGCCACACUGGGACUGAGACACGGCCCAGACUCCUACGGGAGGCAGCAGUGGGGAGUAUUGCACAAUGGGCGAAAGCCUGAUGCAGCGACGCCGCGUGAGGGAUGACGGCCUUCGGGUUGUAAACCUCUUUCAGUAGGGAAGAAGCGAAAGUGACGGUACCUGCAGAAGAAGCACCGGCUAACUACGUGCCAGCCGCCGCAGUAA